GACAGAGGGUGCGAACGUUGUUCGGAAUUACUGGGCGUAAAGCGCGUGCAGGCUGUUCGGAAAGUCGGGUGUGAAAGCCCUGGGCUCAACCUAGGAAGUGCACUCGAAACUCCCGAACUGGAGUCCCGGAGAGGAAGGUGGAAUUCUCGGUGUAGAGGUGAAAUUCGUAGAUAUCGAGAGGAACAUCGGUGGCGAAGGCGGCCUUCUGGACGGUGACUGACGCUGAGACGCGAAAGCGUGGGGAGCAAACAGG
Molecule: ribosomal RNA, 253 nt
Filed under: uncultured bacterium
Lineage: Bacteria
Description: partial 16S ribosomal RNA
Rfam family: Bacterial small subunit ribosomal RNA
Source: RNAcentral